RNAcentral lists this long non-coding RNA (736 nucleotides) under Mytilus galloprovincialis (Mediterranean mussel). The record is from RNAcentral. Lineage: Eukaryota; Metazoa; Mollusca; Bivalvia; Mytilida; Mytilidae.
UUUUUAUACCCCCGCUUUAAAAAAGGGGGGUAUACUGUUUUACCUCUGUCUGUCAGUCCGUCCGUCAGUCCGUCCGUCCAUCAGUCCGUCAGUCCGUCAGACAGUCCGUCCCAUGAAACUUUCGUCACAUUUUUCUCAGGAACUACACAUCCACCCUUUCUGUAAUUUGGUAUCAACAUUUAUAUAUGUCAGCCAUACCGUGUGAUGCGUUUUCAGAUUCAUCACUUGACAACUUCCUGUUUACCAAACACUUGUCUGAUUUUACACAUGAUAGCCAAUUUGAAAAUUUUCGUCACAUUUUUCUCAGGAACUACAAUACAAGGAUUUCUGAAAUUUGGUUUCAGGAUUUAUAUAAGUCAGCUAUACCGUGUGAUGCGUUUUCAGAUUCAUCACUCGACAACUUCCUGUUUACCGAACACUUGUCUGAUUUUACACAUGAUAGCCAAGUUGAAAAUUUUCGUCACAUUUUUCUCAGGAACUACAAUACAAGGAUUUCUGAAAUUUGGUUUCAGGAUUUAUAUAAGUCAGCUAUACCGUGUGAUGCGUUUUCAGAUUCAUCACUCGACAACUUCCUGUUUACCGAACACUUGUAUGAUUUUACACAUGAUAGCCAAGUUGAAAAUUUUUGUCACAUUUUUCUCAGGAACUACAAUACAAGGAUUUCUGAAAUUUGGUUUCAGGAUUUAUAUAAGUCAGCUAUACCGUGUGAUGCGUUUUCAGAUUCAUCACUCGACAC